RNAcentral lists this ribosomal RNA (270 nucleotides) under uncultured prokaryote. RNAcentral's name for it is "partial 16S ribosomal RNA". It matches the Rfam family "Archaeal small subunit ribosomal RNA", at positions 474 to 743 of the family's 1478-position model. The record is from RNAcentral.
UACCGGCGAUCCAAGUCGCAUCCAUUUUUAUUGGGUCUAAAACAUCCGUAGCUUGUUUUGUAAGUUUCUUGUGAAAUUUCAUAUCUCAAGUAUGAAGCGUGCAAGAAGUACUACAUUACUAGAGACCGGAAGACGCAAAGAGUACGGUUAAGGUAGCGGUAAAAUGUGUUAAUCUUAAUUGGACUAACAAUGGCGAAGGCACUUUGCGAGUACGGAUCUGACAGUGAGGGAUGAAGGCUAGGGGCGCAAAAGGGAUUAGAUACCCGCGUA